This 76-nucleotide transfer RNA is filed under the name Bdellovibrionales bacterium. RNAcentral describes it as "tRNA-Lys". It matches the Rfam family "tRNA". Rfam says of the family: Transfer RNA (tRNA) molecules are approximately 80 nucleotides in length. Their secondary structure includes four short double-helical elements and three loops (D, anti-codon, and T loops). Further hydrogen bonds mediate the characteristic L-shaped molecular structure. tRNAs have two regions of fundamental functional importance: the anti-codon, which is responsible for specific mRNA codon recognition, and the 3' end, to which the tRNAs corresponding amino acid is attached (by aminoacyl-tRNA synthetases). tRNAs cope with the degeneracy of the genetic code in two manners: having more than one tRNA (with a specific anti-codon) for a particular amino acid; and 'wobble' base-pairing, i.e. permitting non-standard base-pairing at the 3rd anti-codon position. The record is from RNAcentral. Lineage: Bacteria; Pseudomonadati; Bdellovibrionota; Bdellovibrionia; Bdellovibrionales.
GGUUCGUUAGCUCAGCCGGUAGAGCAUCUCCCUUUUAAGGAGAGGGUCCUAGGUUCAAGUCCUAGACGAGCCACCA